This 29872-nucleotide long non-coding RNA is filed under the name Volvox carteri. Its description in RNAcentral is "long non-coding RNA (VCAR_LNC000647)". Lineage: Eukaryota; Viridiplantae; Chlorophyta; Chlorophyceae; Chlamydomonadales; Volvocaceae. The record is from RNAcentral.
CGCCUUCAGCAGCCCGUCCGGUGUAAGCGCCAGCGCAGAUGCCAUGGCUUCCAGGAGGCUGUGCAGGUCCUCGAAGCUAUCGAAGUUCUCGUUCAUGCAGAGCUCGCCGAGCACAACCAGCUCCCUGUGCAUCGGGUACCUGAGCGACGGGAUGGCCAUGAUUGAGUCCAACAGCUGUCUGUGCGGGGCUGCCGGUGGCGGGACAGUAGUUGCCACAGCUGCACAUCAAGGAAAAAUGAGGGUGCAUUAUGCAGGUAGGUCAUUUGUCACGAAAUAGCAGGGGUGUGCUAAUUCUGUAGGAACACACAGCUUACUAACGGUUCGGAAGACCAUGACCAUGCAUGGUAUGCAGUGUACCAAAGAAGCGCGUGGCAUUCUCGUAUAGAACCACUGCGGUAGAAGCCGUGGACUUGGCCGUUCAGCAUGCAAAAAGUCAGAAAGGCAUGCAGCUACCAAAGCCACCAGACGGCUUAGACUCAGAAAAAACAAGGUUUCAAUAUACAGCUUAAUAGUAACUCAAUAGUAGGGAUUAGACUCAAGUGCCCAGUAAAGGAACAAACAGCUUGCUAACAGUGAGGGGGUGUUCGGAUGACCAUACAAAUCGGUUAGGGGCCUUGAAGGUCUAUCAUGCAGGGAUAGAGACAUCGUGGAUGGACUACAAUAAUGCUCUUCGGCAAGCCGCUGUGGAUCAAUAUGUCUGACAAAUCCUGCCGCCUACAUACGUCACAAGAAUGACAAGUGAACGCCAGCGCCCCGCACUUGUGCAGAACGUGUAACUUAUAACUUUAAUGCAACAAUUUGACUCCUGGGUCUGCGCAAACCUCGCGCAAAAUAUGCGCUGACACUACUCACUGUGGCGGUGCAUGAGCUUAAAGAGCACCUUCUUCGCUUCGUGUAGCUGCUUCUCCUCAUCGCGCAGCUGCUCUUCCUCAUCGCGCAAGUCCGCUAAGCUGUCCCUGUCUGUGCACGUCGCUAUCUGUCCAGCAACGGCCUCAAGGGCACCCUCAACCGUGUCGAUUUCCGCCCUUAACACGUCCAUCACCCUCCCUAGAUCACGGACAAUAUUGUCACAGUCCAUGGCACACUCACGCGAUACAAUACUCUGCAGGACUAAAAUUAUACGAAAAGCAAGAGUUGAAAUCGUCUUCAGACUUGAGGAGCCGCGAAGGCAACCUUUUCAAUAGGAAAUCAUGGCUUUAUCUUUAACAUAUAGCUAAAAUCCAAACAUAGGCCCCAUAGGUCCGCGGGUGUUCCGUACUCCGAAAGUUCCGGUGAGACUAGAUGUGUCGAAUUGGCUGCGACAGAUAGAUUCCGCCAAGAAACCCGAUAUUGGCAGACAGUCAUACUGAGUCUGAGACCUGGGAUUGGCCGACAGGCUGACGAACGUGCUUUGCAAUCUUUGUGGGUCUUGAACCCUGCUAGUCUUAAAGCCCUUCCGCGUGUUACUCAUGAUCAUUUCUCAGACUGACACGUUUGUGCCUGGCGCAAGUGGUGGUGAGCACCCGCAUCGACUCAUGUUUUACCGGCCCUUCAUUCCAGCUGUGUCUUACAAUCCCUGCGACUAGUGAUCACCACCAGCUCGGUGACACAAGAAGUCAGUCUCAGGGCUAGCCUGUGACUUUAAACGCUUAUCUGCAUGUCCGAGCGCACGAAGCCACUGCUGCCAGAGCUUCGAGAGGAAGAAAUGUAUGUAGUGAAGCCAUAGCCACCGAAUGUACUACACGCAUUAGUACACACAUUUACGCAAUAACGUCCGUUUAUCUCUAAACAGCAUUAGGUGAUCUCACUAUGCCCCCAACGACCUUCGGACGAUCGACGAUCUUCGCAAGCAUGGUUAUAGUGGGCUCCUGUUCAGCAUAUUCGCUUGGGAAGAUGUUUUGUAAGGUGGUUACCAAGGAAAACACCCACAAUAACCACGGUGAAAAGGUUAAAAAAUCCACUGGCUGCACCGGGCCGAGCCCCUCUUCGGCUUUGGAAAACCGCCCCCCUAACUCGUUACAACAAGACAUUUUCCUUGAUGUAAUUAUGUUUAUAACAUAGGGUACCGUACUGCUACGAUGUUUUUGUGACACGCUUUUUGGGAAGCUCGAAAAAUCAUAGCCGAAUUACGCUAAUGAUUUGCAAUUUUGGUGACGAGUCUCGGAUAUAAUUGCAGUUGUGACACACAUUUCGGCGACGCUCCAGGGAGGUCCGAGCAGAAACCGCAGCAUGGUUACUGUGUUCAUUCGUUCGUUGCUCUGAGAGAACCGCAGAAAACAUACACGUAGAUGAAGCACAAAGAAGUCAAUUAGUUUAGGCACCACAGAGUUGGCCCCCUUACAAAACCCGCAAAAGUCCCCUCUGCCGCAAGGGGAGGAGCCCCAAACCCCGUCGUGUACAGGAAGGGCCAUAUACACGCGGAAAUACGCUCCAGAAGGGAUGGGGGGAUAAAGAAAAUCGCUCUCCAGCAAUCGUUUCCUUCAGCACACAAAACACACCCACCCACCUACCUUUCGACUCGAACAUUCACAACGCCGGCCGGUCACCGGCCACCCUCCUCAAAAACGUCGUCGCCUAAACUCUGCUCUGUACCAUUACCGCGCUUUUCAUUAACGUCGUACCGGUCAUACAUAGCUGAGCAGGUUCCCUCGAAAACCCACGUCACCAUCUGGUCAACACUGCUGUCGUGUGCGCUGUGGUUGCCGACACCGAAGACGAUUACAAGAUGCAACACCAACCGCCGCCGCGAGCACCGCCACCACCGGCAACAAACCGACGACACCCAGAAUCCAGGCCAUCCAGCCAUGGAGGAAACGACCCGACCCAGAGUCCGACCCACAUCAUCACAGAACUCAUCAAAUCUAUCAGCAUCACUGCAAAGUCCUCAACCACCGCAGCCUCCUAAUGUGACUUUCGUCGUGGGGCUCUUUCCGCUGGUGGCGGCCGGUCGGCUGCAGUUGGACCCUUCGUGGUGAAUGUUGCGGUACCGACACUCCCUCCAUGAAGGGAGGGAGCGGGGCCCGCAUUUGAAUUGAACACUUUCGCGCAGCUUCGCAGAGCAUGGGAGAGGGCACGGGAGCUGAUGAAGCCAGCGGCCACGGUGGCGGCCGUGGCGGCAGCGGCGGCGGCGGAGCUGGUAAAGGCGAUGGAGUUGUCGUCGAGGCCAUUCAUCGCGCCGCGGGGGGUUACGUUGGUUACUGGGUCAGAUGCCGGCGCCGUUGCUGUUCACGCCGGACGGCAAAUACGAUAUUUUAUAUGCUGUACAGCUCGAACUGGCUGCACGUAUGCUGCGAUAGUGCCGCUGCUAGAUUACCAUAGCCAUCAUCAUCAUUGCCGUCGCUACCAUGCAAAUGGUAUACAUCUAAUCUCUCACGGUUCCAUACGCUGUCGUACGCUAUCGUACGCUGGGGGGGGGGGGGGGAAGGCGCCCAGCAACAGGGGAUGGUGGUGUGGGGGUGCGGGGGAACGGCGCCGGCGACAUUACCAACAUGAUCAACAUAAUCAACAGCGGCAGCAGCAUCAAAGGGGGGUAACAGGCAAUGCGUCGGAUGAACCAGUCGCUGAGAGACCCUUUUCUGGCCACAGACACUGCAAAUGUGUACGGCAGUACGAACACGUACAUGUAGCGUUUCUUGUAUUGCUCUUUGUAUAUGUAGUAUACUACACUUCCCCAUCUAGUUGCUAAUAGCUAACACACACGCUCUCUCACACAGCGUGCGCGCGCGACGCCCGCCGCAUGCAAUUCAUGCAUAUUGCCUAGUCUUUUCUCCUCCGCCAUUUCGUUCAUUUCUCGUUUUUGUGCAGGUCUCACCUCCCAUCCACACUUACACCAACGUCAAGCAACAAUACACACAUCCCACACCAUGACCUACAUGCAUACACACGUGCAUGCAUACAUACAACUAUAUCAACUUGCGAGCUGACCAGGAACUAAGUUGAGGCGCCGUUGAUACGCUAGAUUUGGUUGGAUACUGGUGGUGAGUUGCUGAACCCAACGAAUACAUUCUGAAAUCGGAUGGGGUGAAUGGAUUAGGGUGCCCCUCGCGCAGGGGAGAGCAGGGACUGCCUCGGGAAAGGGGGCCGCUGGCGAAGUUAACCACCCUGUAACAACAAACAUACAUACAUACAUACAGGCAGGCAGGCGGCUGGCAGAGAUUAAGGCCUGACUUCUGCUCCCAGUCGACCCAGUCGACCCGGAUUCAAAUCCGCCUGCCGGCUCCUCGGGUGUUUAAGGAGUGAUGAAAUGGGAGCUGGCCCCCCAUCUUAAGGACGGUGUAGGACGUGAUAAUAUCAACUUGCGAGCUGACCAGGAACUAAGUUGAGGCGCCGUUGAUCCGCUAGAUUUGGUUGGAUGCUGGUGGUGAGUUGCCGAACCCAACGAAUACAUUCUGAAGUCGGAUGGGGUGACGGAUUAGGGUGCCCCUCUAGCAGGGGAGAGCAGGGACUGCCCCGGGAAAGGGGGCCGCUGGCGAAGUUAACCACCCUGUAACAACAUACAUACAUACAUACAUGCAUACAUACACACGUACAUGCAUACAUACAUGCAUACACGGCGGUGACUCCCUACCAGAAGCCCGCAGCUGCCAGGAAAUCCAUCCUGCUGCUGCUGCUGCUGCUGCUGCUGCUGCUCCGUCAGAUCAUCUACUUCGCACAGCUCUAGUGCCGGCAGCAGCUUCACAGCCGCCGCUUCACGCGGACCAGUGGACGCCGCCUUCACACCCGCCGUCGCCGCCGCGGAUAGUGUUGUUCCUGCUCCUGCUCCUAAUUCUGAAGCUGGAUGUAUCGCUGUGGGCGCGAUUGCUGCUGCUGCUUCUGCUGUGUUGGCCGUCGCCGCUCCUCCCGCCGCUGCCGCUACCGGUGAAGACUGCGGCAAUGGAGAUGAUGGUAGUGGCGUCGACAGUACUGAAGAUGGUGAUGGCAAUGAGCCCAGGGCUGGCAGAGAUGACGCCGACGUCGUCGUCGGUGGCGGCGGCACCGACAGCGAGUGUGCCGUAAUGCCGAAUGUGCGUGCCAGUACCUGCAUUGAAAGCCCCGAGCAGCAGAAACACAAAACACAGUCCUUUCUACACAUUUUUGUGCACGUUAUCUAUCUGAUAAAAAACACAAAAACCAUUGGAAGGACGUAUUGGUAACGAUGUAACAUAAGAUAUACGUCGUCGUUCAUUGUCGUACUAUAACUAUAACUGAUACACGCGUACCGGCAUAUUUCUCCUCCUUUACGCACCACACCUGCAACGCCUCGAUCUCGUACUCCGCCAAGUAGCGCAAAUCCGGUACGAUGUACGGUAACGCGCCCAGCGCCGCCGCCACCGCACGAAGCGAUGCAACGCCGUGGCGCGACGGCAUCAUUGUCGCAGGCCGCCGCACCGCGGGGUCCCUCUUCCCGUACCUACCGGCCACGACGCUGACACCGUCAACGAUGCCACCACUACCACCACCGCCGCUGCUGCCGCCGCCGCCGCCGCCGCCACGGCCAUCGCCACGGUGACGCAGGAAACGCAAAUACCGGACCCGAGUAGCCUCUGACCGCGGCCGCUUCCGGCGGCGGGCCCUAGCCCUACCCUGGCUGCCGCUGCUGUAUUCGUGUAACCUCAACUCCUCCUCAAGCUCUCCUUCUGAGUUUGAUUUCGACGCGGGUAUUCCGAUUGUCGCUGCGGCACCAUUUGGGGGUAGUCUUGUGCCGGCUGGUGACGGCAGCCUGGAAACCAAGUGGCGAACGAAGUGUACGGCCCAAGUGGCGGGCAGUCGAGCACCAGCUGCGGACAAAGCCAGCGAUAGCUCGCAUAACUGCUCUGUUGUGUAGUUUUGGAGCUGUGUACGGCUGCUGACGGCGGCGGCGGCGUGCCACGACACCGGCAAUGGCCUUGGCGUGCCCCAGGCGGCGAUUGAGCGCAGCCACAGCAGCAGCCCUGACGGCGGCAUGUACGGCACCAACUCCAGCCCAAGCCCGGCGGCGGUUAUGCACCAGUGGCGUGGCGGCAUGUAGUGGGGGAGUAGUCGCAGCAGUGCCGCCAGCAGGCUGCUGGCGGCGGGGACAACGGCGGCGGCGGCGGCGGCAGCGGCGCAAGCCGUCCCUGCAGCGGUGGCCACGGCUGCAGCGUCAGCCUUCGUAACGUCCCCUUGAGUUAAGAUAGCCGUCGGUACGGCGGCGGCGGCCGCCGCCGCUGCCGCCGCAGCGGAGCUAUGAUCCAGUCGGCGCCGUACAUCUUCCAACGCUGCCUCAAGCAGAAGUUUCAGCCAAUCAGCACGAACAGGCGGCGGCAGCGGCGGCGGCUUCGUAUCUGAUGGGCCCCCGGCGGCAUGGUGCAUGUCACGUGUUGCCGCCGCCGCCGCAGCAGCAACCUGGGAUGGUUGACUCGACGCUGUUGAUGACAUAUCGCCCCCCACCUCCGCUGACCCCUCCGCCGACCCCGACUUCAUCAUCGCGGGCACCAUGUCCGCGAGACCUGUCAAAAGUACCGAGAUAUCCUCCGCGCUAAAGUACGGCGGCGGUAGCGGAGCCACCAUUGCCGCUGCCGUCGCCGCCGCCCCAGCUGCCGCUGCCGCUGCCGACCCGCUCCAUGGCUCCGCUGCGUCCGCGCCCGAGCUGUGUUGCCUGCCAGCGGCGCCGGCGGCCGCGGAGAGAGUUGCCGUUGCCGCCACCAGCGUAUGGCCUCCGCCGGCUCCCGAUGGGACCACAUGCUGUACCAGCUGUUUCUGCUGCUGCUGCCGCCGCCGCCAUCCUAGCGACCGCGCGACGUCACCGCGAAUCACCGCCGCGACGUUGCUCAAAAUCCAGGUGAUCCACUCCGGCGACGGAGCAUAACCCAAAGCUCCAAGGCCUCGCACCACACGGGCAACGUCGGCGCCGUAAAGUGGCUCUCGUGGCGGCGGUGCCGCCGCCGCCCUUCCGAACUUCGCCUUUGGCAACUUCUUUCCGUCAGGACUUAAUCCCGAUUCUGCAGCUGCAGCCUCCGCUGAUACUGCCGCCGCCAGGACUCCGACGGCCCCAGCGGAAGCGCUCGUCAUGCCGUACCUGUGCGCUGCCGCUGCACGCCGCGCCGCUGACUCUUCUAACGCCGACGCGAUGACGGAGAGGAACAAUUGAUCUUCCACUCCUUUCCUGCGGCCACUACUGCCGUCGCUUCUACUGUUACUGCUGCUGCUACUGCUACUGCUACUGCCGCUGACAUCCGUGGCGUCAAGGAUGACGUCGCCGUUAACGCCAGCAGCGGCGGUGUGGACCAGGGCCAGACGAGCGGCUUCCUCCGCCACGGCGUUCCGCACGACGAUGCAUGUGGCGUCCAAGAGCUCCAGGGGGGGCCGCAACCGCAGCGCCGCCAGGGCCUAUCGGAACCAUCAGAAGUAGUGACCGGCGUGUGCAGGUCAGGUUAAUGGUUUGAGAGUACUGCCAACAUGACGUAACCUGAGCUAUGUAGCUAUGUUGUGUUGUGUAAUGUAGUGUUGUGUAAUGUAGUGUUGUGUAAUGUAGUGUUGUGGAGUUUUGUAAUGAUUUGGCGCAAUGCAAGGUUGGUUGAUUGGCGACAUCCCACCCGAAACUGCUCCAAUUGUAUAUGUAUUGACCCACCAUCAGCAUCUGGCCGAUUUCAGCAACCGUCAUGCGCGGCAGGGCGGAGUGCGCCGCGCCCAGAGCCGCCUGCCGCCAGGCCUCACCCAGCGGCGGCAGCAGCGGUGGCGUCCGCCGCUGACGCUGGCGCUGACGCCUCCUCUGUCCCGUACGCCGCCGGAUACCUGACCCAGCACCGGCGGUGGCUGUGGCAGCGACGGUAGCAGCAGUAGCGGUAGUAGCGGCGGAGGCGGUGUGCCGUACUGCUGCGAGUCCAGCGAGGGACGCUACCAGCUGGUCAGGCCGCAUAAGCCCCAUCUGGCCGGCGCUCUGGGCCUCCCAUGCGGCCAGCGUCGGGCCAUGGCUGUUGCAUGACGUAAAGAGGUAAUAAGGAGAGCGCGCACCAUGUCUAUUACAACAAAAGAACACGCCGUAUGUAUGUAUGUAUGUAGGCAGUAGGCAGGGUGGGUGGAGGGACGGUGGAAAAAAAUAAUAAGUGCAUGUGCAAAUGUCUUGCACUGUUAAGAGAUGGAAUGAAGGGAUGAAAUGAAUGUGAAUCGAAUCAGGAAUGAAGGCUCCCAGAGUGGUUCAAGCACCAGUAGCUGGGCCAGCUGACCAUGGCACGUGGUAUACAGACAUCGGCAAACGCUUCGGGAGUUUCGGGUCAUACCGAAACUCCCGAAAGCAGAAAUUGGGUCCCCGAAGCCGGCCGGCUUGCAGAACUAGGAUCAUACGCCGUAUACGAAUGUCAAACUAUUGCAAAAAACACUUUUUCAUUUCGCGGCCUUGUAACAGACAUUGUACUGGAAGACAGAAAUAGACCCGUUCCCGAAACCAGAAAUACCCCGUUUGCCGACGUCUGGUGGUAUCUGCCACGACACGAAGAACUACCAACCGAUAGAUAACUAACCGACAACGAACUUGUCGACUUGCCUGAUGCCCAUGCGUCCAAGCCCCGAGAUCAUGCACGUCAGAGCCCGAGGACCGAAAGAGGGCAUCUUUGGCAGCAGUGAGCUGCACACCGCCACCACCAUGCGGCGGAAGCCCGCGGCGUCCCUGCUAGCGGUGAUGGCGGCAGUGGCGGCGGAGGCGGCGGAGGCGGCGGAGGCGGCGGCACCACCCCGACUGGCGGCGACACCACUGGGCUCAGCCAUCCAGGCAGGAGCCGUCACCGACGGCGGAACCAGCGGCGGUGCCCGCGGCUGCAAGCUGGGUACAUGCCUGCAGAGCACCCAGUGGGGAGAGAGGGCGCGUCAUGGCAGUGGGGGCGAUGGUGGCGGCGGCGGCACCGCGGUGGGAGGUGCACCGGGCCGGACUCGGGGGUCAGGGGUACAGAAAACACGAAACUGAUGCGACAUUAAUGUGCGAAUAGUAAGCGGUGGAUCGAAACAGGGGUAUAGGAUGACGCGUAGGUUGUGACGUAUUCGUAUAGGGUGUGACGUUGCAGCCCCCGGGACCGUUCUCGGGGCCCAUCGGCACGAAGCCCAUCCACCAAUCCAUCUACGCCGCCCACUCUCUCUUACAGAAGUUGCCCGUCCCAACCCUGCGAACGAAGAUCUCGUCGCACUGCCGUACUUGAAAAAGUACGCAGCGGCAUGCUGGUCGAACAACGGCAGAUACCGCGGUAGUAGCUUGUGUGCCAGCUGCCUGCGCCAGUCCUUGCAGGCCGCCAGUCGCGCCACGAUCUUUGCUGUCAUGCGCGGGUGGGGGCCGUCGGGGCUGUCGAGAAAGAGCUUGCGGCGGCGGCGGAACCCCGCGGGGCCAGACGGCUCCAGGGUGGUGGAGCUGCUGCUGGCGAUGUUGGGCGCAGGAAGCCUAGACGUCGAUGAGCUCGGCAAUGAAGGCGAGGACGAGGUCUGGGACGGAGUGUUGGUGGUAGUGGAAGAGGAGGAAGAGGAGGAGGAGGAGGAGGACAGGGCAGCGAUACGCUCCGAAACCGGAAUUUCCUUCACGGACGUUGGGUCUGGAUUUGGGUUUGCAACUGGAAUUGGAUCGUGCGUCGGCCCUGGAUCCGGAUUUAGAUUUAGGUCUGUAGCGAUUUCUUCUUGUGAGUUGGUGUUCGCGUUCACCUGCCGCGGCCGCUGCUGCUUUUGCUGAUCCAGCUGAUCCAGCUGCUGCUGAUCCAGCUGCUGCUGCUGCUGCAUCUGCUGUUGCUGCAGCCAUCCGUCCUCCGUGUCAAGGAUCAGCUCCCUAAAGUACUGUGUUGUCGGUGUUGAUGUCGGUUUCAAACGGGCAAACCGGGACAAGGGUAAAAGGGAACCCGGCUUCCUAUUGUCGGUAAUUAAAGUCAACAUCCAAUCGGGGUUUGGCCCACGACGGCCUUAAGAUAGGAGCAAGGAGUCUAUGAGCCCCAAAGCGCAGCUGACACAGCGAUCUAGAACCCCCUUCACUUUUUCAGCGGACAUUUCCUCUCUUGCAUCUCCAGCUUUCACCUGGCGAAGGAAGCUCUUCGUCCCUGGACACAACAUCCGAAAAUCCAACUCCCCACAUCCUUACACCUCCGGUAUCGUAUCAACCCCUUCUUACGAUUAAUCCCGCAUGGCCGUGGAGACCUUACCCUACCUACAGGAGCUUGUAGCUGCUGGGCUUACCUCUGCCGCGCGCUUGGGCCGCGGUCGAAUCACCGGAGGUUUGGGGGAGCGUGCGAGUCGGCGAGCCUUGUUCACCUCGGCCACAUCGCCAUACUUGGCACGCUUGCUGGGUUUGCGGGCUGGCAGAGGAUUCACAUGGGAAGUGGUGCGCUUAAAGGCCUCUGAGCUGGUAAUGUGCUCUGGCCAGCCACCUAACAUUUCAAGACAGCUUUGGGAGCUGGCAAGGGAGUGAAGAUACAGGCACCACAAUUGCCGUACCGCACACCAGAGACUCCAACAGUUACGCGCAUGCGAUGUGUUCAGGUGGUUAUCACGACGUUUUAACAAGGCAUGGUGGAAAGGACAUAAGCAUGAGCCGCCCUGUGGUCAAUAUCAUUGGGUGCGCGACUGAAACUUUAGAAUCCCCGGAUUCCCCGGAGUCAUCAUGAGUGUUCACUUAUUUGGGAUGUCAAGCGAUGGAUAAGUAAUCCAGAGUUGAGCUAAUCUAGGUAAAUGCUUUCGCAUGAUAAAAAUGAGCCCCUGGAUGUUUCCUAUCAGCCGGCACUCUAAUUGUCGAACCAAUGUAUCCACAAUUUGUAUUGCUUAAUGCCUGUAAAUUCCGAAGAGAAAGGAAAGGUGGAGUAGUGUAUUCCGUUGUUCGUUAGGUUUUCGCAUAAGUGAAGGAUUAGCAUGAUUGCUUCUAGCAUUUGUGUAGGCCUCGGAUGAGUUACGCAGGAGCAUGGGUAAGUACAUUCAAGGGUGUUUACAGGAGGGUAGGGGGCCAUAGGAUUAGACAACCAAUAAGGGUAGGCCUCAUGCUCCAGUACGCUCAUCCUGCGAUUUUGUGUGACUCGGAAGUGUAGUCGAUGGUAAGCAACCAUGCAUUGGAUAGCUGCCACCGUCAACAGGACACUAGACUCUAACUGACGAACAGCAAACAACAAAUGGCCUCCGGACACGACUUCGGACGUUCUUUGUCUUUUUACGGAAUUUGUCAUGAGUGAUCCAAAAUGUUUGCCAAAGUACCCUAUCAGGACGGGAUCCGAUAUUUCUAAGAUACGAAGACGAAGCACCGACACUAAGCGCGACCAAGCGUUUGAACCUAUCCAAUCAUCUCCAAUAGUGCGAUGAAGCAUCCAGCUGUUGUGGUAGUAGCUGUAAAUAGAGCUGUUGUCAAUCAUGCUGCUUACAUUCCCUUGCGGAUCGGAAACUGCUGCCAGAUCUUGCCCUUCUAUGAAGACGGCACGAAGCGGGGGCAUUUGGUUACAUACAGGAGAAAGGGUUCACAAUGCAUUUGUGCGUCUGGGCAUUCACUGGUAUAAGACGACCCAUUAUUUCACUUAUACAAUACUCUUUAAGAAUCUACAAAUGCGAACGCCGUGUAUUGCACUUGCUCGUGUUCAAACACAACAGAUCACCAAAAGCAACGACAACGUUACGACAAACAGACGAACCAUGGCGGGGAAGCCCUGGCCCGCGUGAGGCGGUGGUAACACGGCAACAAUAUUAUGGCCACGCCAAAAGCACACAUAUACACCGAAACAAGCCGGAAAAGGACUGGGCAACACAACAAUCAGCAGCAGCAGCAACACCAGCGGCAGUCGCGCAGAUAUCAGCGCAAAGCAAACAGCGCAUAGCGCCAUGUUCAACUCACACCUCCCUGAUUGGAUUGAAAGAGGAGCCAACCUCGAUGGGGCUGGGGGAUGGGUGGGGCGGAUUAUAGGUCCUAGGGGGGAAAUUACCACCGUUGUCAAACGAGCUACAGACAACGAGCUAGAGAGCUGAUUGAUUAUUAAGAACGCACACAUGGCCCCGCUACUACAUCGCCGGUCCCGACACGUCGAAAUCGACAAAUAAACAAAUAAGAGCAGCGACACAUGGCGCCGGCGCCCUGAUCCAAUGCAGCCUGAUCAUACAGCUUAGCGCGCAGCGGCAGAGGCUCCAGCCUUCUUCACUCGCAAGUUAUUCUAGCGCAUGAAGCAGCACAGCUCAUAGCCGUAAGGCUCCAAACCAAAUCCAACAGGCACGUAACAGCCUCCAUGCAGCAAACAAACGCCGUGCAAGGACCCCGCCGCAAGAAAAGAUUAAUCCCGUUUUACGUGCGUUGCCCAAAACCAUCUAUUGUCUUCUUAGGUUUUGAGCACUCGCUUCACAUCGUUAGCCAACAAGGACUGCAACGAGCUCAUUCCAGCUGGGGCCGUACGUGCUGCUGCGACCGCGGGAAGGAGAGAGCCCAGGACCCGCUGAACCGCACGCAGGCAUACAUACGUACACAUAUACAUAUGUACGCAGCCGGAGGGCUCGUACACUCGCCAGUCCUCUAUCGCCAUGAGGUCUCAACCAUACCAUCAACUGGGCAACCGGAUGCAGAACGGGACAAGCUUUUCUUGGAGAGGUCAUUGUAGGAGUGGAAAUGCGCAAAAACUCAGGGGUCCCUAACAGACUCGCUGCCUGCCAGACAGCUUGACGGUGUUGAUUCACACAGCGGCGACACCGCGCGACUUGGUUCGCCAUUUGCCACACACACACACACACACACACAUGCACACAUACACACGUGCAUCAGACGUCUUAACUUUGUCUAUAGACACGACAUUUAGCUCAACAGCAACCGUUUCUACCAACAAAUUCAUCUGCGGCGCCACAAAUUCCCCCGAACAAGGGCCACAGGAGAGGCCACCAGCUCCGUCUCUUGCCACCGGCCGUACCUCCGCGCUCCAAACAGCCAAUCACCGUUUCGCCAUCCAUUGCCAUUGCCGCCCUCCUCGCAAUCGCGAGGGGAAAAAAGGUACUUGAAGAACAUACCAUACAAGUACUAGUAAAGCCCAUCUUCGCCUCCCCAAACGUCCAUGCCAUGCAUUGCAAUGAUGCAUGCAGAAUACAUCAUCAUAUACAGACUCCCUUCAACCUUCAUUCACGACCUCGACCAGGCAAAUAAGCAGAGUCAUCCCCUCCCGAACGUUACCAGCACCCACUAACGUCGUAUCACAGACCGCCGGGCCAGCCCAGAGGAGGAACCCUUAUGCUAUUCACUGUCGCCACCCCGCGAUGCAUUGACCUUGUCACGGUCAACACUCGAAGGAGAGCACAGCGCAGCUAAUCAGGAGCGGCAACCGACCUCGCCCCCAGUAAUUAAAGAACAGAACGGAAGGAAAAGAAAGCCCGUGGCCUAUAGCUGCCCCCCAGUAACCGUGUCGGCAGCAGCUGCAGCCAAGCCCACUGCCACAUCCUCGACCCUGGUCAUGAAAUCAUCCAGCCGCCAGCCAAUGCCGCAUUUUCAACUCGUCACCCUCGAUGGCAUCACACGAAACACCCUGAGAGACCAUUACGCACCCCAGAAGUACAGCCGCGCCUGUGGAAAGACGCGCGAGAAUAUCGAGCACAACGGGCUGUACUACCCGCGAGGUGAGGGCGGGAUGUCCAAAUUUGAGCAUUUGAGCAGAGCCAAAAGCUGUGGUCACGCCUAGAAACAUCCUUCCACAGCAUCCUGCCCUGAAGCAACGUUGCUCUAUGCUUGCUGCACACGCCUUCCUUUCUUAGCUUAAGUAGCGCCCAGAGACCAAACUGUCAUUAAAACGAAAACGCAGCUAUGUGGCUCAAUCCACCUAUAUGUGCAGCUGCGAAUCUCCACGUGUCAUCGGCUUACAGAACAGGUUUUUUUCCCCAAAUCCCAGUUCUGAAGCGGCAGAAGCGAUCCGGCCCUCCUCUACAGUUCUCAUGGCCGGCAUCAGGGUAACGCAGUCCCUAAUCCCUAAUCCUAACCACCAAUUAGCUCUCGAUCCUCGAAAAUUGCCGACCCAAUCCCGUACAUCCUCCAUGCCAGGCAAAGCACAAAACCGUUUCACAUCAUUAGAUGGCCUUUGGAAGCGCGAGGCUUCAAAAAGCCACCAUGACAUCACUCCAAUCAUCUUCGACAUGCAGCGAACUCAACCUUCCUACGCUCUUGAUGGAUCACGCCACCGCCAGGAUGCGGUUGCCAUGGCAGCCUUGGCAUAACGCAGUGAUGGAGAAGACAGUACUGUGCUGCCGCGAGCUGCACACUUCACCCGAGUCCGAGCGCAGCGUUGGGCGCGCUGUGCCGCAGCAGCACCCGCCACACCUGUCCGCUGCACCCGUGCACUCCGCCUCCAUGCACAUUCGCCGGCGGCCACACUCGUUGCAUGACGCCAUGAUAGAGAGUAGCAGGGGCGGCAAUGUGCAAUGGCACAUUUCACACGGGUCUAGCUCCGCACAGCAGCCGUUUUUGGCUGCAGUAGCAGUGUUAUUGUGGCCAUGGCCUCGAAGAGCUGGUUUAACAUCCUCAUUCUCCUCGGCCUUGCAGCCCAUCACCAUGGCGGCUGCGUUGGCUCCGCAGCGGCUGCGGCGGCCAGCCGGUUGCGCACCGGCUCCCACGGCAUUGUUGGCACCUGCAUGCUGGUCGAUCUGAUGCAGGCCGCCCAAGAUCGCCAUAAGGCUAUCAACCUGCAGCGGGUGAGCGCGCAGGCAAAGCACCCAGACCGUAAGCGUCAUGACUGCGCGAGCACUGAGCUCGGAGCUUCGCACGUGUGCCGCCGUAACACCGGCAAGGCCAGAAAGCGCUUGUAUGGACAGCACAUGAGCAUAGGUACAAAACAACACAUGGCACGUCACAAUGGAGCAUCCCACAUGCGGCCAAAGAUCCACAAUCUCGGAUUGCAUGUGCGCGCCUGCCUGAUACCGUACCUGGUAGUGGCCCAUUUGGAACGCCAGGUGGAAGGGUGUGACGCCGUUGUCCGACUUAAGGUGCGUAAACGCCGCUGGCCAACCGCAGUGAUCCAGAAGCAGUAGCCCCACGCGCGCGUCGUCCAGCAUCGCCGACAGGUGAAGCGGCGUGAUGCCCGCAGGCCCCGCCGCAUCCACACGCCAUCGGUAGCCAUGGCUGUCACCCCAGGCCAGCAUGCCAGCCAGCAAGGGAAUGCUUCCGCUGCGCACGGCCCGGUGUAACAGCGUUAGACCUCGCUUAUCGCCCGAAGACGAGCUGGCACUCGAGGCCGAUGACGGCACGGAGGCGGCGUGGAUUGCUGCCACCAUUUCAGAGGCGCACGAACAGCGGGCGCAGGCUAGGGGCAGCACAGCAGAGGCGACGGCGGCCCAGCCCAUGUCGCAGGCGAUAGCUAGUAGGCGACGUGCCUGGGGGAAGAGGGGUUUAUUGGCACAACGGGGCGGAACACGUCGGGAGCUGGUGCAGGCGGCGGUGCUCGGCAGCAGAUACAAUAAGAGGAAACGGAAACCAAAAUUACGCAAAUAGUCUGCUUGCACCAGCACUCCAUAUGUGCGACCGCCUGCUGGGGAACAACCCAGUGCAGCGCACGGCGGUCCGUUGUGGCCGGAUGGCCCCCUGCAUUGGGGUCUUUCUAGGCCUCGCGCUGUAAUACUUAUCACUACUACCUGAAACCUGAAACCAAAAUUUUACGCAGCGCCGAGGGCAUGACGUACCUUCAGCGCGAUGGCAGCAUGCGGCAGCUGAGCACCCGCGCCCUGCUCCCCAGCAAUGUGCUGCAACACGAUGGCCAUGUCCUGCAGCAUCAGCUCGACAGUUUCCUGGCUCAGCGGGCCGUAGCGGACAUCCAGCCUGCAUGGCAGGACAUAACGAGGCGGAAGACGAUAAGAGUCGGAAUCUUGCCUUGCUGAGGAAAAGCGAGCAAGCACGCACACGCACCAUAUUCUUCGAUGCGUCCAAAAAAAAUGCUGCAUAGGACAUAGAGCCUAAUAAUCAUCCUAUUCGUCCCGAAAUUUGUCGAAACGUACUCAACAGGAGAGGUGUAAAGUAGCAAGAUAUUAAGCCAAGUCCAAAAGGACACCCAAUAACCUCCAUCCGUCAUGGAAGUGCCUUGACCAAUGCUUUCGCAUCGUCACCAGCUAAGGCAACAUCCUAUCCCCCUUCAUCUUUCCCGCAGGCAAAGCCCGACAUCCUCACAGCCUCACUUGUUAAUUUCCUCCACCAGCGCCUCAUUCCGCGCCACCAGCAUCUGCUUGGCGGGGCUGAGGUAGGCGCCACGCAUCAGUUCAACCCACACAGGGCCACACAGCUCCGGCAAAGGCGGCAGACGCACGAUGGCUCGGUGCGCCGAUAGCGGCUGCAUGUGCGCCUUCAGGUGCUGAGCGCCCCAGCGCACAAUGACCUGGUACAGGGUGCAGGCAACCAAGCCGAGUUAUAACCUUAGGACUUCAAUUGGGCAAUCCUAACGACAGAAACAUACCCACUCGAUUCGCAUUCCAGCAUCCAUAUCGGAUACCCAUGUCCCCUCUAGGAGGCCUGCUCAUCUCUUUGCCCAUCUAUGCACCCACGUCCCCUUGCCUACACUCACCAAGCAAUUUGGCGCGUCCAGGUGCUGUCCGUGCAGUUUGAGCGUUACGGGCUGGCCUGCCACAGCCGCCAGCGGCCCAAGGCGUCGAAUGACGGGGAACCGCCCAUCACCGUUGGCACUCGCUGCGUCACACGACACACGCCCGUCGCGAACCAGCAUAAUGUCUUCGUGCAGCUGCAGCGUGUACAUGCCAGUGUGCCAGAACGGGCAGCCCGUACGCGUCAGCAGAUGCUGUGCCAAACUGCCAAGUGCUCCCGGUGCCAUCGCCUGCGCCUCGCCCGCUUCGUCAACCAGCAUCUGCACCGUCAGAAACACGCAGCCCGGCCGAAUGGAGGCCUCCAUGCCUGCUGGCGCCGACGCCAGCCAGCUGUUGACCUGGUUUCGGAGAUCUGAGGGCAGGUCGGCUGGCGUGCGGUUGAACAGCUUCAUGGACAGGCGGAUCAGCCUGUGCUCGCUCUCGAAGGCCGGAGCGAACUCAUUGCGGGCACCCAUAAUGUCCCGGGCCAGGGCAUAGGUACGGGCCUGGUCCGAGCCAUCGCUUGACGAAUCAGCGGGGCUGCCGGAACCCAGGCCCACCCCCAAGCCCAACCCCGGCGCAGGGUGUGAUGCAGGCAAGGCAGGGUGCGUUGGUACUCCCAGCAGCAGACGCAGCGCGUGGAGCUGCGAAGGGUUCUGCAUGAGACACGUCAGCAGCUUGCCGACAUCGCCGUCAAAGGAGGCAGUAGCGCCGCCGUUGGCGGCAGCUGCAGCGCCGCAUCCGACGGCGCCAACGGCGAAUGGGUCCACGGCCGCGGACUUGCCCUUGGCCUGUUCAGCCUGAGCGCGGCGGCGCCGCCGGGCGUUGUGCUUGGAAAGCUGGUCACGGCAGCUCUUGCGGUUGCCAUCAAAGGCGGUCAACUCGUGGAAGCGACCGCACUGCUGGCAGAAGCGCUGCAAGCGACCGUCCUUCAUUACCUGCGGAAAUUACCAGGGUGCACGAGAGACAUGGGCAGGGCCCAUCGUCACAAAGUAAGCAGCUCAACACUUCGUAGCACAGAGCACCUAGCGAAAGGAACCAUAGCAGAGAAAAUAAAUACGAAUCGCUGAACCUCCGCGCGAAGAUCCCGAAUUCCCAAUCCCGCAGCCAUCCCAGCCAGCUGCCUCACCUGCUGCAGUUUAAUGUGCACAUCGCAGAUACGGUACCGCUGGUGAUACUCCUUCAAACCAGACAAGUCCUUGCCGCAGCCGGGCACCUGACAAACCAUGAGGCCGUUGUCAUCGCCCACAUCAUGCAGGGCAAUCACAUCACCCAGGUACUGGUGUUGCUGAUGGUGCGCGCCAUUGCCGCGGUUAUUGCCCAAAGGGCCGCGACGACCAACCUCAUCCUCAUCCUCACUGUCACUGAUGGCGAAGUCCGAAAGGUCGCCGCCCACCAUAGCGCCAUCGGCGCCACGGCCGCCAGUUGCACCCGUCUGAUGGGCCUUAUUGGGUAGCGGCAUGCUAGCCUUAUUUGAGCUGUCCGCCUGCUGCCUGCCGCCGCUGCAGGUAGGGCCGCCGCCGCCGCGGUUGCCGCUGCAGCACAGCGCCUUGGCAUUGUCAGCGCUACCCUGCAGCGAGCUGGUCUCCCCCGAGGAGCCCAGCGCGGGCGAUGGCACGGACGAAGGCGGCAGCGCCAUGCUGGCCUGCUGCUGGAAUACACCCGAGGGCGUUGGAAAGCCAGAUGCCGGCAUGGACAGCGCCGGAGCACACUGAGCGUGUGAACCUGGGAAAGGCUGCAUGGGCAUACUGGGCAUCUGCAGGGCCAUCGGCUGUAUACCCCAGCCCAUGCCGGCCAGAGGACGACCAGUGCCGCCUGUCAUGCUUGUGAAGAAGCCGGGCAUGUCCACGGCUGCCGCCAUAGCCGCUGCAGCAGCUGAUGCAGCUGGAGAGCUCAUAUCGCCCAGCCCAGCCCAACCCAUGCCAGCCGGCAGUGCCAUGCCCAUAUUAACAUUAAGCAUUUGUGGGCCGGUAGCUGCUACUGGUGCGGCUGCGGGAACAGCCGCAGGCGGGACCAUGGCACCCGGGCCAUGGCACAUGCUGCUCACUGCGCAAGUCUCAACAACUGCUUUCUGUGGAGCAAGGCUGUUCAUAGCGGCUUGAAGUGGCCCCGUCAGCUGCUGCAUUGCCUGAGUCUGGUUGGGCGUGAAACUGCAGCAAGCUGCUGCCGCAGCAGGGGGCUGGCCACCAGCACGAAUGCUACCACUCGGCCCUUGGCAACAUGCGCCUUGCUGUGCCUGUUGUUGGGGCUGUCCUUGGGCCGCGGCCGUGUUGUCUACCUUGCGCCGCUUCAGGGCCUGGCAGCAAGCAACGUUCGGCGUCUCCUUAGGCGCGGCGAACAUGUUGAAAGGAUCCCAAUUCCAAUCUUCCACAGCCCAUGUUUGGUCGUCUCCUGUAAUUAUUUAAUACCGAAUGAUGACUUGCUGCGUCAUGAUCUCUUGUCACGUUUUCAUGACGACCCGCUGGCUGGGCACCCUGGCUGCACCCGUCUGGUCGAGGUUCUCCAUCGUCAAUUCUGGUGGCCUCGGAUGGCUAAGGACGCUGAGAACUAUGUCCAGAACUGUGAGCUGUGCCAACGCAAUAAAGUCCUGUCUGGUAGCCCCACGGCCUCCUGUGUCCCUUGCCUGUGCCGGCCGCCCCUUGGGAAAGUGUUACCAUGGACUUUAUUGUAGCUUUGCCCAAAACUGAGGGGGGGUUCGAUGCCGUUUUGGUCAUGGUAGACCGACUCACGAAAAUGGUGCACCUGGCACCUACGGUAUCAUCCUGCACAGCUGAGCAAACUGCACAUCUGUUCUUUGACAACAUAGUGCGUUUGCAUGGUGUCCCCAAGAACGUUGUGACCGACCGCGGAUCGCAAUUUGCCAGCAGAUUUUGGGGCACCCUGGGUGAUCUGUUAGGCAUGCGUGUUAACCUGAGCACCGCCUAUCACCCACAGACUGAUGGACAGACAGAACGUACGAAUCACACUCUUGGCGAUAUGUUGCGCAAUUAUGCCAGACGUACGCCUUCUGUCUGGGACACAUAUCUAACUGCUGCUGAAUUCGCAGUUAAUAAUGCUGUGAAUCACGCGACUGGCAAAAGUCCGUUUUUCCAAAAUUAUGGAUACAACCCUGCCUUGCCUGUUUGGCGGGAGUUGGACGUCAACUUGCCUGCAGCAAAGACGUUUGCCAAGUCCUUUGUGUCCCGACUGACUGACGCUAAAUCUUGCCUCGAAGCUGCACAGCAACGUACGGCGGACUACUUUAACAAAUCCCGACGUGCCAUCACCUUCUCGCAGGGCCAGUUGGUGAUGCUGAGCACUAAGAACCUGAGGUCCCUAGCGGAUGGUUCUCGUAAGCUUUUACCUCGUUGGGUGGGACCAUUUCCUGUCGUUUGCAUGGUUGGGUCUACUGCAGUCGAGCUGCAACUACCACCUGACAUGCGCAUCCAUCCCACAUUCCAUGUCUCUCUAGUCCGACCUUUCCGUACUACUGACUCUGCUGCUGCGCUUCAGCCAAAACCUGCUCCUACUGUCACGGAGCCAGGACCAGUUACUUGGCUUUCAGGCAAGCAGACAUUUUACGAGGUUGAACGGAUACUGGAUUACCGUUCCCGAAAAGUAGGCAGAAACCGCCGCCGUAAGCGCACUGUGCAUGAGUAUCUUGUCAAAUGGGCUGGGUACUCGGCUGAGCACAACAGUUGGGAACCAGAAGCUAACUUUACCCCUGACCUAAAACCUCUGCUGGAAGAAGCACGGCAACGAGCACGGGCAAGGUAAGAUUUGCGGGUUAAAGGUAAGUGUUUAACUCCCGCUUUUUGGCCCGAUUUUUGCUCUGCCAGUUUCUUGCCAUGCAUCGAGGACGCUGCAUCUAGAGGGAGGAUAGUUGUUGUAUUCCGCUUCUUAAAUCUGGGCCCAAACUGAUACAUUUUUCUGUCUAAUUUUUCCUUUCUCGCUUGGCGCGGUUACUGGACAAGUUCGCUGGAACUAACUGAAUUCCAACUGCCUAUUUUGCCGCUUUUCUGUCAGAUCUUUAUGGCUCCGACCUCUGGGUCAGACGGCGAGCGGGAAGCUGUCAUGGAUGCCUACAAGUAAACGCCGCCUCAGGCGGAAGUCCAUACUUGCAGUAGUAUGGGCGGGGGUCGUAGCACAGGCUACGACUGGGACGCUGGUCCCUGGCUCGCGGAGCCCUGUCAUCGAUUGGAAGCAUGGAUCAACGGUACGCCAUUCCGGGACUGGACCGCGCCUUUUCGGAAUUGGCUGUACGAUUCAUGGGAUGGCCGCAUCCUCCACUAUUUAAGCGGGCGAAACUCUUCCAAUUCGGUGUCUUCUGACGCCACCAUCCAGUUGUGGUUUAGUAAGAUACAACAGUAGCCUGCCCCUGACAGCCCAGAGUAGUCCCCUCCACCACCUGCUGGAUCUACAGCCGCCAACACUGCCCUGUGCUCCCUGGAUGCCAGGUACCCCCUGGACCAUUAUCAGCUGCACAUGGUGCAUAGCAGUCAGUGGUGGCAGGUAGAGGCACCCUCAACAGGGUAGCCGCAGCCCUAUUGCUGCAGAUGGUGCAACGAGCAAGUGCUGCACAUGCAGGCGUGGUCGAAGUGUGGCUGCCCGCAGCCCUCCCUGGCCCCACACCCCAUGCCUGCCGGUGGUGUGAACCAGUGGCCCACGCUGACUACAGCCUGCCACUGGGCCAGGCGCACAGGUGUGGAUAUGUCAGCCAUUGCCAUUACACCACGCCCUUCACUGCUGCUGCCGCCACACCGGGUGCCACUGCUGCCACCACACUGGGCGCCACUGCUGCCACCGUGCUGGGUGCCGCUGCUGUCACCAUGCUGGGCACCACUGCCCUAUGGCAUAAAACGAGGGGUAACCCCCCCUUAAGCAUAACCCAGGGGUUAGGGGUAGGGGUAAGGGUAGGGGUAAGUGGUUACCCAUGUGGCUAUGUACAAAGGGGGGUGGGUAACCUAACCCCGGGGUAGGGGUAACCCCUUACCAAGGGGUAACAAAGGGGUCAGGGUAACCCCUUACCAAGGGGUAACAAAGGGGUCGGGGUAAUAUUGUACUGAGGGGUAACAGACAGGGUAACCAGUGCUUACAAUUGUUCCUUGUCCAUAUGCCGGGUCAUAUGCUGGCGUCAAUGGAUUGUAAGCAUGUCCCUGUCCAACCUGCCUACACAUGCUAUCACAGCUGUCUCAUCCAUCUAUGUGAGCAUGUAUGCCUAUUUCGCCUGUCUAUGUGUGCAUACAUAUGUGCAUGCCUCUCUAUAAACUUCCAUCCAUGCAUAUGCCUGUAUCGAGCUCACAUGUCUACACAUACAAACAUACAUUUAAGGCAGGCGGCUGGCAGAGGUUAAGGCCUGACUUCUGCUCCCAGUCGACCCAGUCGACCCGGAUUCAAAUCCGCCUGCCGGCUCCUCGGGUGUUUGAGGAGUGAUGAAAUGGGAGGUGGCCCCCCAUCAUAUGGACGGUGUAGGACGUGAUAAUAUCAACUUGCGAGCUGACCAGGAACUAAGUUGAUGCGCCGUUGAUCCGCUAGAUUUGGUUGGAUGCUGGUGGUGAGUUGCCGAACCCAACGAAUACAUUCUGAAGUCGGAUGGGGUGACGGAUUAGGGUGCCCCUCUAGCAGGGGAGAGCAGGGACUGCCCCGGGAAAGGGGGCCGCUGGCGAAGUUAACCACCCUGUAACAACAUACAUACAUGUUCACCAAACACUUUGAGUGUACAAUUGUAAAGAUUGCCUCACCAACACAAGCCUUGCAGGGUUGUAGAGCCCGCCCAUGGCCCCAGGCUUGGUGUGUGUAUAAACUCGCUAAUUACACCAACGUCAUCAUAUCAAGAGAAAGGAAAUCAGACCCAGCCAACAGAUUCAGUUCACUUAUGAUCUGAUGUACGGCUCCAUACACAUGUCUCACUAAACGAGUUGCUGACUCCGAUAUUUGAUUAAUCCGAGGUCUCCCACCACAGGGACUCUAGAGUCCAGACCUAUUUUGCAUGCACGGAAAAGAAAUGGCAAAAUUUAAGGUUAUGCUUAAUAACUGUCAUACGACAGAAACCGGGAGGAUAGCUAUAGGUGGUAAUACACAUAUCAGCUGCAGGGUUUUAACAUUAGCUCGUGGGCCUUGCCUGCCCCAUUUACCUCCUGCGGUAUUUCAACCCCUGCUCGAUGAUCAACAUGAAUGGCAUGCAUACUCUCGGCGGGGUCAUCAAGGAGGUCGUGGUCAAGGGUGUGCAGGGCCUCCGCAUUGCCAAGGCAAGCACCCGUCUGAGGCAAGCAGUGGCUGACUACAAUCAGAACAAGGGCCCAAACCCUGGCCGUGCUGGUAAGGAACUCAUAUGACUUGCCCAUUAUGCAUGAUGAAUAACUUAAGGGUUAAUGCAAUAACUACUAGUGGACUAAUUUACACAUGGACCUCCCCAUCAUAGGCUCUACUAUGGAAUUCUUACAGGAGACACACUAAUCUGUAAUGUAUGCAGAUGGUGCCCAGCUGGCCAGGAUCAGGGCCGCACUGCAGGAAGUCGUACGGGUGACACCAGCGGCUCUCACGUCUAGACUCCAGCGCCUUACCGGUGCAGGGAAGGCCGCCAAGACGCACACUUACUUUCUGCUUGCCGGUCCCAUCGGCUUGUACGUCAUCACAUCUGCACGAUUUCCUGAGCCUGUACAGGAGGCAUACCUGCGGCUCCUUCAGGCAUGUGGCGACUUGUGGCAGAAGGUGUUAGAAGGGUGAGACCACGGGCAGGUUUAAAUUUGUGUAGAUGUAUCCCAAAAAUGUGGUGUGCAUACAGCGAUCCACCAGACCCAUGCUUAGUCUCCUCUGUCUGCUUUCUUUUCCUGUUUUGUCAUGCUGCUUGCGCAGGGGUGAGGUGGACGCCCUUGAGCAGCGCGUGGUGGAGGCUGUAUGCCUAGUCGAGCUUCGUCUGUCCGUGAAUGAGAUGGACAUAAAGCUGCACAACCUGUUGCACCUGGUGGAUUCCAUAAAGAACAUCGGGGGAGUUGCUCAACAUUGUGGACAUGUUCUGUGACGAUUUUGGGAUGCGCCCAAAUGUGUCGAAAUGUGAACGCCUCGUUUUUGCGAGUGACAGCAACAUUAGGAGUGCUGUCCAAGCAUCGUGUGAUGAGCUCAGGCUGGCUGGAGAGGCCAUACCGGCUAAGGAUAGUGCGUGAUAUCUGGGGUUAGUGUAUGGGCCGGAACGGCAGUUCUGGGCCUGCCGCCAGCAGUUGUAUGACACAGCUAGAGCAGCUAUGUUCGCGUUGAGUGCAAAAUUAGAUAAGCUGAAGUUGUUCGCCCCAGAUGUGAGGAUGAGGUGUUUCGAUACGCAGGUACGAGCAAUACUGUUGUAUGGUUGUCAAGCGUGGGGGCCGUUUAUGCUAGCUGAGGUCUCGGACAGGCUCAGGAAGCGGAGUGAUGCGAAUAACCUUUCAGAGGGGCCCUUCGAGGCGUGCCUAAAGGACAGGGCAGUGCAGCUUCAGAUAUCUUUCAUGCGGCAAAUUGUAGGAGCUGCCAGACCAACACACCGCCUCUUGUUCGCAGAGCUAUCGCAGCUACCCCUACACUACCACGUUCUCAAGCAGGUUGUGAGGUUUUGGAACCAUGUCCGUUUACAGCGUGGGUCUGUGGCAUACCAAGUUUUGCGACAGGAGGUCGCAGAAUCCCUCUCCAACCCCGAAGGGCCCGGAUGGGGGACACUACUCCUCCGUUUUCUAUGUUUUUUGGGGCACGAUGUAUGGAAAGAGGCCCCGCAAGGGCUACACGAGGUAGACGAACGAGUGGAGUGGCUGAUGAACAAGCCAAUGCCAGAAGGUGUGAUUUCGGAGUUCAAGGACCGAUUAAUGAGUGGUUGGAAGCAUACACGUUUAGAUGUCCAGCCUGACGUGUAUCCGUCAGACGGCAAACAACCAGGAAUUCACAUGGCGAAGUAUAAGCAUUGGAUGGGGCUGGCGGCCGAGCAAGCGGGCAGGAAGGAGGUGCUCCCGCACAUCACAAUGUUUAUCCCACGUUCGGCGAAUCGCAAGCUUAUGCAGUUUAGGCUUUGCUGUUGGGCACUGGCGGCUAACAGAGCGUGUAAGGGACGGCGUUAUAUACCUAGGGAGGAGCGAGUAUGCCCCUGCUGCGGCACUGAUAGCCACAUCGAGGAUGAGAAACACAUUUUGCUGGACUGUCCGGUUUACGACGGAAUCAGAUCUGAUAUGGGCUUUCCACGCUUCGAACAUAUGAAGGACGCUAUGAAGUGGGAACCUGAACGCCUGGCAAGAAUGCUGGAACGUAUAUGGUCUCACCGCAACUCUAUCGUUCCCUUUGGUCGUUAGUAUACUUCAUUACUUGUUUCGUUGGAAGUGCGAGGUAGGAUGGUGCUUAUAGGCGAUUUGGCAGCCCUUGAGCCCUCGGCUCGUACUAGGGUGGUUUGCAGGUACGGGGAAUGCACCCACGACCAUGUAACAACAACAACAACAUAAAGAACAUCGGUAAGGAAUGUGCCACAUUGUGUAGGCCAUGCCGUGUUCAAUGCACUGUGAGACAUGUGAUGUGCUGUGUGCGUCAAGAUGUGGGAUACCGCACACACACUGUACUGCACUCCUGGCACUCCUGCCUCCCAAGGGCCCCUUUUUGCGGCAUCCAUGUUCCCGCCGGAGAGUAUCUGGGGCCAGCUAGGCCGUUGGGUGCACAGCAAGGUGCACAUGGAGCCCUGCAUGUUCUUCAACAUGUUGGACAAGGAGGUUGUGCUGCAUCUGAGGGUGUCAACUGCAGCACCCCCAGCAGCUGACAGCGAAACAGCCCCUGUGCCGCUAACAAUGUGGCAGCCUGAGGACUUUCUUCUCCGCCGUGAGCACCCAGCUUACCUGGGCCGGGUGGAGCGGAUCAACACACUCAGUGGCUCGCAACUGGCCUCAUUACAGAGUUUUUACAACCUGUACAGGCCGGCAGCUGCUGAAUGGCCAGCCAACUGUGUGAUUGAGGCGACAGCCAAGUUCCUCCGCUGGGCCUGGGCUGACCUGCUGGCGCUGGAAGCUGGAAAUGGUUUCUCUCUCGUCCUGCCCCUGAGGAUCCAACCAUGUGGUUUGGGAGGGUGCAGGGCAUCAUCGCUCAUGUUGGACCCGACGGCCGAGAGUGUGUCGUGCUGAUGGCGGAUUGGUUCCCCGCAACAGUUGACACGACCAUGCAGUGCCCAGUGGUGUCGAGCAUGCCAGUCGUUCACCCUGAUGGACCAUGGUGGUUCAUGGAGACUGUUGUGCCGUGGGACUGCUGGGCUCUGCCACACCCCAGGCGUGCUGGAUCGCAGGUCCUCCUGGCAAGGCACUGGCAUAUCACCCGCCACCUGCCACCAUAUCCACGUCUGUGAGAAUCUGUGCCUGGUAUGCAUGCAUGCAUGGAGAGGGUUCGGGGUCGAGGAUCUGGACCAUACUAACUGGGCCAUUGGCAUGCGAUACACGUGUGGCAUGUGGCAUAUGCCCGUAUACCGCAUUAUGGGAGGGAAGGAGGCGGCAAGGGAUAGAGGUGGCAGGGAAGGAGGCGGCAGGGGAAGAAGGCGGCAGGGGAAGAAGGCGGCGGGGAAGAAGGCGGCAGGUGAGGAGCACCAGGGGAGGAGGCGGCAGGGGAGGAGGCGGCAGGGGAUGAAGGCGGCGGGGAAGAAGGCGGCAGGGGAUGAAGGCGGCGGGGAAGAAGGCGGCAGGGGAUGAAGGCGGCAAGGAAUAGAGGAUGGAAGGAGGCGGCAGGGGAGGAGGGGGAAGGGGAUAGAGGCGGCGGGGAAGGAGGCGGCAGGGGAGGAGGCGGCAGGGGAUGAAGGUGGCGGGGAAGAAGGCGGCAGGGGAAGGAGGCGGCGGGGAAGAAGGCGGCAGGCGAGGAGUGCCAGGGGAGGAGGUGGCAGGGGAGGAGGCGGCGGGGGAUGAUGGCGGCAGGGAAGGAGGUGGCAGGGGAGGAGGCGGCAGGGGAUGAAGGCGGCGGGGGAUAGAGGCGGCAGGCGAGAAGGUUGAAAGGGGAUAAGGUUGAAAAGGAAGAUCUUCUAGAGGCGGCAGUGGAGAAGAUGGCCGCUUCCAAACAAUAGCUACAUCAUCCUUCGGAUACAUGUCCCGCUUCCAAGAGCAUACGGGCUAAGUAUGAUGGUGACCUAGUCCUUACGGGCCCAGCAUGCGCACCACUAUGACUGAGGCGCCCCCCCUGGCAUUGGCCAGGUACCUCUCGGAAAUCUGGGAGGUCAGGCACGUCGCGCUGAGGCGCUUCGCCCUGAAGCGGACGAGGGAGAAUGAAGAUGACAUCCCGUGUACCCGCAUCAAUACCAAUACAACGUCCAUGGCCCCCCGGGCUUUUACGGACACAGCCGCACUUGUGUGCGGAACUUGUAACUUGUAACAUAGAGGCUUAGGCUCCCUUACUUGUCGUUCGUAUUCAUAGCUUAAGAUGCUAGUCAGCUGCAGAAUUUCGUGAAUAGGUUCUUGUCAGGUGUAUAGCUGUCUUAACGUAGCCAGACUUGCCUCAACCGCUGUAGUUAUAUUUACUGAAGUGAUACCAUAGAGAAUGAACUCUUCCGGAUUUCACUCAGGUUCAAAUCUAAGCUAUGACGGUUAUUUGGGGCUGGGAUUUUGGGAUAAAUUAAAUUACCAACGUACGCGUGGCCUCUUCAUUUCUGUUCUCCUGGAUGGUUGAUAUGGGAAGGCGGAAACAAGUUGCUAAGGGUCCUUACACUGCAGAAAAACACAACCCCAGCCCCACGGCCACUAUACCCCCCUCGUGCUGCCCACCAAUGCCCUUAGCAGGGCAACAAGCGCAUGACACAUAAACCUAUCCAAAGAACUUCGAACGACUCUCAGACUCUCAUGUGGCGACAUCUAUAGAGGUAGCUACCUCCUGAACCCGGGAAGAUCCCUGCAGGUUCAGCUGACUAGUUUCCCCCUACACCAAGCACUAUCCCUUCUGAGCUCCCAAGGCCACACUACUUGGCUAAAAGACUCGACCGUACCAACCCCGUCCCGGCCCGCCGGCUGUCCAGCCGCCCCUCAGCGGCCGUUUGCCACAAGCCUGCAGCUGGCAGAGCCUGGUGCGGAGGCGUCUGCGAUUGACCGGUGAAGAAGGGAAAGGGAAACUUGUUAAUCCAUGAUUGAUUUCUUUUCAGAACUAGCCAGAGACACAAUGGAUUUCAAGCUAAAUUGCAUUCCCCAAUCCACUUCGAACUGUAUGUAUGUUGUUACAGGGUGGUUAACUUCGCCAGCGGCCCCCUUUCCCGGGGCAGUCCCUGCUCUCCCCUGCUAGAGGGGCACCCUAAUCCGUCACCCCAUCCGACUUCAGAAUGUAUUAGUUGGGUUCGGCAACUCACCACCAGCAUCCAACCAAAUCUAGCGGAUCAACGGCGCAUCAACUUAGUUCCUGGUCAGCUCGCAAGUUGAUAUUAUCACGUCCUACACCGUCCAUAUGAUGGGGGGCCACCUCCCAUUUCAUCACUCCUCAAACACCCGAGGAGCUGGCAGGCGGAUUUGAACCCGGGUCGACUGGAUCGACUGGGAGCAGAAGUCAGGCCUUAACUUCUGCCAGCCGCCUGCCUGAACUGUAUGAAUGCGAAUGAAUAAUCUUAUUAGGGACAAUAAUACGGCACGGGAGUUUCAUGCCCUCAAAGGGGGAACAAACGCUAAAACUGAAUACAUACAUAGUUAUAUUGGCAAACGAUGCUUCCCGAGCUACCAGGAUACUGUAGGUUCAACAUGUACAUGUAACAUGUACAUUUACAGAAAUGUACAAAAAUGAAUUCACGAAGUGCGCAGCAAAUAAGAUGAGUAGCCUAUAGGCCCAUGUCCAUAGUCCAGGGCAACGAGGGGGUUACCCCGUGUUACCCCUCCUGCUGGGUAGGAACUUACAAGGGGGUUACCAAUCGGCUACGGGGGGUUGAAGGUGGGUAACCGAUGGGUAACCCAUGGGUUACCGACCCAAUCAGUGCCUUAGGGCUGCUGCUGCCGUGCUGGGUGCCACUGCUGCUGCCACAACUGCGCCUGGGCUCGUAUGUCUUGGUCAGCGCUGCACUGAUGCGACCACUGCUGUGGAAUGCAGCCAACUCUGAGGGGUAGGCCCGCAGGAACUCCUCCUGCUCCCGGAUAGGGGCGUGUCUGAGGAUGUUGCACAGCAGCACGUGGAACCAGCGAAGCCCAACCUUCAUGUCGGGCUGAGCCCCGCAGUCCUGCUCAAAUUUGGCCUUACUGCCAAGGCUGUUGUAGCGGUGGUCCCGGACCUGCAUGUAGAUGGAGCAUUGAGCACCAUAAUCAACACAGUUGCAUGGGAAGCAGGGGUGUACAGGCCAGCAGUAAUGCAGCCUGGCCCUGUUGGCUGGCUGCAGUCCACAUGAUGACUGCAGCUGUUAGAACAAGCAUCGUGCCUGGAAUUUGACAGGUGUUGCACUGCUGCCUCACACUCUAACCCCUUGGUCUGUUCGUGUUGUAGUGUUACAGAGCCAAAUCGCAAAGCAAUGAAGGCGUGAUUUGAUUAAGACUGAUCUAUGAACAGUCUAUGAACACCUUGAGAUUAAUAAGUGUUUCCUAAUUAAGGAUUGGCACUCUUUCAGGGUUCCUACCCUAACAGAACAUACACCUUGGUCUAACCAGGGACACUCUACGACAGAAGUCAUUGCAGCCUCCUAUGCAACGAGUAUUAUAUAUACUCGGGAGGGUUGGAUGAUUAAUAUUUAUAUAUUAACAAAGAGACAGAGUUUUUAUUACUCUAUCUUUAGACAAGAGCUCAGACCUUGGCGGAGCUAAUCCGUCCUGUGACUUUCGGUUCUUGCCAACAUUACACGCCAACAGUUCGACUGCCCUCCUGGUGCCUCUAAUGGUCCCCUCUACAAGAGAAAAAGCUCUUAGCAGGUGCUCCUCUGCACCACAACACCCACUCAGUUCGGCACCACAAGCAGCACAACUGUUGACCCGUGAGUGCUACGGUAGUCCUGUGACUACUGCACGCACCCUUUUAACAUCUCACAAGCUUGCUUGCUCAUUUUCUGAUUGGCCACCCUGCUUGCAACCCCGCUUUUCCCCUAGCCAGCGGCACACACUGCCAACAGUUUCCUGGCUGCCUUGUUACCAUUCCUCCUGUGUUUCGCAGGUGACCAUGUCACUGUCUGCGACUGUAGCCUCCUGACCUCCUCCUCCUUUCCUUCUGCUGUGGGUCCCCUGGCCAGACACGUCAAUCUCACAGUAUGGCAACUCGCCCACCCCCACACACACACCCUAAACCCCUUGGCUGGCAUUCUUACCUGGAUGAACCAGUCCGCCUUCAGCAGCCCGUCCGGUGUAAGCGCCAGCGCAGAUGCCAUGGCUUCCAGGAGGCUGUGCAGGUCCUCGUAGCUGUCAAAAUCCUCAUCCAUGCAGCGCUCGCCGAGCACAACCAGCUCUCUGUGCAGCGGGUAGCUGAGCAUCGGGAUGGCCAUGAUUGAGCCCAACAGCUGACUGUGCGGGGCUGUCGGUGGCGGGACAGUAGUUGUCAC